GACGAACGCUGGCGGCGUGCCUAAUACAUGCAAGUCGAGCGAAGUUUUUCUGGUGCUUGCACUAGAAAAACUUAGCGGCGAACGGGUGAGUAACACGUAAAGAACCUGCCUCAUAGACUGGGACAACUAUUGGAAACGAUAGCUAAUACCGGAUAACAGCAUUAACUGCAUGGUUGAUGUUUGAAAGUUGGUUAUGCUAACACUAUGAGAUGGCUUUGCGGUGCAUUAGCUAGUUGGUGGGGUAAAGGCCUACCAAGGCGACGAUGCAUAGCCGACCUGAGAGGGUGAUCGGCCACACUGGGACUGAGACACGGCCCAGACUCCUACGGGAGGCAGCAGUAGGGAAUCUUCCGCAAUGGGCGAAAGCCUGACGGAGCAACGCCGCGUGAGUGAAGAAGGAUUUCGGUUCGUAAAGCUCUGUUGUUAGGGAAGAAUGGAUAUGUAGUAACUAUACAUAUAA
This 460-nucleotide ribosomal RNA is filed under the name Gemella morbillorum. Its description in RNAcentral is "bacterial SSU rRNA". It matches the Rfam family "Bacterial small subunit ribosomal RNA", at positions 28 to 475 of the family's 1533-position model. The record is from RNAcentral. Lineage: Bacteria; Bacillati; Bacillota; Bacilli; Caryophanales; Gemellaceae.